GAGCCCUAAAAACAGGUUUUGUUAUACUGGAAGUUUCUUGACAGAAUAACAAAACAGUAUCCAUAUAUCUGUCACAACACAAGGCAGGUCUGCCAGGAAAAAUACACGGGCUAUUCACUUGAAGAAAUAAAAAAAGAAGCGCAGAAAUCUCUGAAACAUCUGAUUUCCCCUUCUCCAUGGAAAAAUGUGCUGGGUCAUUUUAACGCUGGGUUAUUUUUUUCUGCCUAACCACUGGGUUGACCUUGUCUCUGGUGAAACUUCUCAACAAUGUUGCUGCUGAGAGCACAGGCCUUUUAAGUCCACAGGAGAGAGCAGUUCUCUGUGUCGCCACCACCGAUUUGAUGCACUUUUUCCGGGAAAUAAAGGCUUUGGAGUCAGUCAUGCCAUCUCUCAGCUACGAGUGAAAUGCAAGGCCGCGGUCUAAAGUUCACAGUUCCCCUCAAACAGCAGCCCUUGACCAGCUCAAAUUUCGGCAACAAACCGGCACAAGAAUUAGCACUAUUUCGGUAAAAAGCGAUUACAGAGAAUGGUUGAAUACACUUAAAUUAAAAGUGCCCUUUUAUUUCUAAAAUGCUUGUUAAAGGAGUUUAAAUGUAUGUAAUAUUGUAACUAUGCUGUAUUCACCCAAAUUAAUUCAAUUUGUCUUGUAUUUUGUCCAUGGGUGUUCUUGCUUAAUAAUAAAUAUUCAUCUUUUGGUUA
This is a long non-coding RNA of Cyprinus carpio carpio, 699 nucleotides long. The record is from Ensembl. Lineage: Eukaryota; Metazoa; Chordata; Actinopteri; Cypriniformes; Cyprinidae.